RNAcentral lists this transfer RNA (74 nucleotides) under Candidatus Schekmanbacteria bacterium GWA2_38_9. RNAcentral describes it as "tRNA-Arg". It matches the Rfam family "tRNA". From Rfam's summary of the family: Transfer RNA (tRNA) molecules are approximately 80 nucleotides in length. Their secondary structure includes four short double-helical elements and three loops (D, anti-codon, and T loops). Further hydrogen bonds mediate the characteristic L-shaped molecular structure. tRNAs have two regions of fundamental functional importance: the anti-codon, which is responsible for specific mRNA codon recognition, and the 3' end, to which the tRNAs corresponding amino acid is attached (by aminoacyl-tRNA synthetases). tRNAs cope with the degeneracy of the genetic code in two manners: having more than one tRNA (with a specific anti-codon) for a particular amino acid; and 'wobble' base-pairing, i.e. permitting non-standard base-pairing at the 3rd anti-codon position. Lineage: Bacteria; Candidatus Schekmaniibacteriota. RNAcentral also lists the same sequence under 3 other names. The record is from RNAcentral.
GUGCCCGUAGCUCAGUUGGAUAGAGCAACGGACUUCUAAUCCGUAGGUCGGGGGUUCGAAUCCCUCCGGGCACG